AACCUAAAUAUAACUAUGAUCUAGAUUAUACAUGUGUACCUGUGGGAUGAAAUUGUGCUUGGGUUAUACCCUUGAAGCAUUGGAAGUUGGCUAAGAUUAUAUAUAUUUCUGUCUCCAAAUGUUGUUGUUGGAUAAAAUUG
Molecule: non-coding RNA, 140 nt
Organism: Arachis ipaensis
Lineage: Eukaryota; Viridiplantae; Streptophyta; Magnoliopsida; Fabales; Fabaceae
Source: RefSeq, a predicted model, not a curated record